RNAcentral lists this long non-coding RNA (1148 nucleotides) under Fukomys damarensis (Damara mole-rat). RNAcentral describes it as "lncRNA (ENSFDAG00000029789.1)". Lineage: Eukaryota; Metazoa; Chordata; Mammalia; Rodentia; Bathyergidae. The record is from RNAcentral.
AUCCGGUUAACCCAUUUGUCUUCGUAAAUUUUUAUGUACUUGGCGUCUACAUUUAGUAGUAGAAUUGAGCAUAUUUCACUGCGCUGUGAGGCUCAGAAACCGCUAUCUCCCCGUAAACCUAACCCAAGCAGCUGUCCUCUGUCCACCCGCCUCCAGCACCAUCCUGGCUUCCCUCCUGGGUGCCCAGAUAGUCCCUGCUACAUAUCCUCUCUUGCAAUUUAAUCACAGCAAACUAUAACCACGCUAGCCAGCAGGACUCUAAUUUUGAGAAGACAUUAGCCAGUCCACUGUCUGCACUUCAGAGGUCCAGACGAAUGGAGAGAUCCUAAGCAGUAUGUGUUCUUCCGAAGGAAUGAAGGGAAACCUGCAUGGCUGACAGGAAAAUCUGCCUGCCCACGCAGAUGCGCGGGCCGAGUGAGGAGAUGAGCUUCAAGCUGGCCAGAGCUAAUGUCCUCUGUAAAAUCUGCUGCCUAAAACUUUUCCGAGACCUCCGUGGCCCUGAGUCUGCUCCUCCGCGAGAUGCUCUUACGCCGGCGCCGGGGGGCUGCAUCCAGCACAGCCCCAGAGGCGCACCCUCAUCUGCGGAGGCUCCCGCCGGCUCCUGUCCCUCCUUCUUGUUCCCUCUACCCAGAGUCACUGACUGCAGGGCGCCUCCUCACCACCCCACUUGACAUGGCCUUUGGGGGAACUCUGGCUCGCGCACACCCAGGUUCACCCGAAGACCCCGCAGCAUCGGGCUACUGCUCUCCAAACCCACUGCCACAUGGGACUCUAAACACACCCAGUUCCACAGCUCCACAAGUCUCUCGCCGCGGUGGUCCGGGCCACAUCACCUCUGCAAAGUGGAGCCUCCUGAAGGAAGCCCGCAGCUGUAAUGCAAAUCCUACACCCAAUCAUACUGCAAGGAUGGCGAAACAGUUAAGGAGUCCAGGGAAGGGAAAAAAACAGAUGCUGGAAUGGCAGCAUGAAGUGGGACCAGAGUAGACGGUCACUACAAGGGGACCCAGCUUCCAGGCCUUUUCAUCUUCGGUACAGGAAUGCCCCCCUUUGGUCGGUACGUUCCAAGACACCCGCUGGAUACCCGAACCUACACAAAACACCAAACCUUGAGCAUACAAUGUCUGCUCUUAUCACAGACCUUAGCAGCC